UACGUAGGGUGCGAGCGUUGUCCGGAUUUAUUGGGCGUAAAGAGCUCGUAGGCGGUUCGGUAAGUCAGGUGUGAAACCUCCAGGCUCAACCUGGAGACGCCACCUGAUACUGCUGUGACUCGAGUCCGGUAGGGGAGCGUGGAAUUCCUGGUGUAGCGGUGAAAUGCGCAGAUAUCAGGAGGAACACCAGCGGCGAAGGCGGCGCUCUGGGCCGGAACUGACGCUGAGGAGCGAAAGCGUGGGUAGCAAACAGG
RNAcentral lists this ribosomal RNA (254 nucleotides) under uncultured bacterium. Its description in RNAcentral is "partial 16S ribosomal RNA". It matches the Rfam family "Bacterial small subunit ribosomal RNA", at positions 524 to 776 of the family's 1533-position model. The record is from RNAcentral.